ACACGGCCGACGCGGGUCAGAGUGUAGUAUCUGUUCUUAUCAGCUUAAUAUCUGAUACGGGUUGUAUUUGGCCCCAAGAUAUUAAACUUAUUUUUGCAAGCUGGCGGAGUGCUUGAAGCCUGCUUCACCUCCGCCGCGGGUCGAUCCGGUAUUGUGCUAUAUUAUUAUAGUAUAGUCUACGGACA
This 185-nucleotide small nuclear RNA is filed under the name Dermacentor silvarum. RNAcentral's name for it is "U2 spliceosomal RNA". It matches the Rfam family "U2 spliceosomal RNA". From Rfam's summary of the family: U2 is a small nuclear RNA (snRNA) component of the spliceosome (involved in pre-mRNA splicing). Complementary binding between U2 snRNA (in an area lying towards the 5' end but 3' to hairpin I) and the branchpoint sequence (BPS) of the intron results the bulging out of an unpaired adenosine, on the BPS, which initiates a nucleophilic attack at the intronic 5' splice site, thus starting the first of two transesterification reactions that mediate splicing. The record is from RNAcentral. Lineage: Eukaryota; Metazoa; Arthropoda; Arachnida; Ixodida; Ixodidae.